Molecule: ribosomal RNA, 1389 nt
Filed under: Limosilactobacillus fermentum
Lineage: Bacteria; Bacillati; Bacillota; Bacilli; Lactobacillales; Lactobacillaceae
Description: bacterial SSU rRNA
Rfam family: Bacterial small subunit ribosomal RNA
Source: RNAcentral
GCCAACGAGUGGCGGACGGGUGAGUAACACGUAGGUAACCUGCCCAGAAGCGGGGGACAACAUUUGGAAACAGAUGCUAAUACCGCAUAACANCGUUGUUCGCAUGAACAACGCUUAAAAGAUGGCUUCUCGCUAUCACUUCUGGAUGGACCUGCGGUGCAUUAGCUUGUUGGUGGGGUAACGGCCUACCAAGGCGAUGAUGCAUAGCCGAGUUGAGAGACUGAUCGGCCACAAUGGGACUGAGACACGGCCCAUACUCCUACGGGAGGCAGCAGUAGGGAAUCUUCCACAAUGGGCGCAAGCCUGAUGGAGCAACACCGCGUGAGUGAAGAAGGGUUUCGGCUCGUAAAGCUCUGUUGUUAAAGAAGAACACGUAUGAGAGUAACNGUUCAUACGUUGACGGUAUUUAACCAGAAAGUCACGGCUAACUACGUGCCAGCAGCCGCGGUAAUACGUAGGUGGCAAGCGUUAUCCGGAUUUAUUGGGCGUAAAGAGAGUGCAGGCGGUUUUCUAAGUCUGAUGUGAAAGCCUUCGGCUUAACCGGAGAAGUGCAUCGGAAACUGGAUAACUUGAGUGCAGAAGAGGGUAGUGGAACUCCAUGUGUAGCGGUGGAAUGCGUAGAUAUAUGGAAGAACACCAGUGGCGAAGGCGGCUACCUGGUCUGCAACUGACGCUGAGACUCGAAAGCAUGGGUAGCGAACAGGAUUAGAUACCCUGGUAGUCCAUGCCGUAAACGAUGAGUGCUAGGUGUUGGAGGGUUUCCGCCCUUCAGUGCCGGAGCUAACGCAUUAAGCACUCCGCCUGGGGAGUACGACCGCAAGGUUGAAACUCAAAGGAAUUGACGGGGGCCCGCACAAGCGGUGGAGCAUGUGGUUUAAUUCGAAGCUACGCGAAGAACCUUACCAGGUCUUGACAUCUUGCGCCAACCCUAGAGAUAGGGCGUUUCCUUCGGGAACGCAAUGACAGGUGGUGCAUGGUCGUCGUCAGCUCGUGUCGUGAGAUGUUGGGUUAAGUCCCGCAACGAGCGCAACCCUUGUUACUAGUUGCCAGCAUUAAGUUGGGCACUCUAGUGAGACUGCCGGUGACAAACCGGAGGAAGGUGGGGACGACGUCAGAUCAUCAUGCCCCUUAUGACCUGGGCUACACACGUGCUACAAUGGACGGUACAACGAGUCGCGAACUCGCGAGGGCAAGCAAAUCUCUUAAAACCGUUCUCAGUUCGGACUGCAGGCUGCAACUCGCCUGCACGAAGUCGGAAUCGCUAGUAAUCGCGGAUCAGCAUGCCGCGGUGAAUACGUUCCCGGGCCUUGUACACACCGCCCGUCACACCAUGAGAGUUUGUAACACCCAAAGUCGGUGGGGUAACCUUUUAGGAGCCAGCCGCCUAAG